Molecule: long non-coding RNA, 2267 nt
Organism: Acinonyx jubatus (cheetah)
Lineage: Eukaryota; Metazoa; Chordata; Mammalia; Carnivora; Felidae
Exons: 2
Source: RefSeq, a predicted model, not a curated record
GGGCGGGCAGAGCGCGCGCUUGGGCCGCCCCUCCGCGGCUGGGCUGGGGAAGCCCCGGGAGUCUGCGCCGCCGCGCGCCGGCGGAAGGUGACUGCAGGCGGGCGCUUGGAGGCGGCGCCGGCGGGGAGGACUGUGCCCUUUGCCCUAGGCGGUCUCAGCCAGCCUUCCGUCGCUCCUUCACGUCAAUCUGGUCGGGCCGAGUUCUGGCGCGGGAGUGAGGACGGGCUGCAGGGACCGCUCGUUAACUUUAAACAGAGCAAAGAGCAAUGUUAUGUAAGCAAAAAAAUGAAUGAAUGUAUGUGGAGAUAGCAAAGGAACUACAGUUCAGGACAAGGAACCUAUGGCGAAGCCCAAGAGACGAAGAGAAGCCUUUCUCUUCAUGGACCUCACAAAAAUGAAGCCCUGUUCCCAAGGGGAAGCCAUUAUCUACUGAUGGCCCAGGUAUCUCAGAUUCUUCAAGACCAUGGGCAUGAUGUGAUCUUACUUCAACAGAAUGGACUUUCGUUCACAUUAGGUAUCCUGUCUUUCUAUUCCAUGUUCUGUCCAGUAGAAAUACAACAUGAGCUAUAAAUGCAAGUCCCAUGAUGUAUUUAUAUUCCAGAAGACACAUGAAAAAUAAAAACAGGUCAAACUAAUUUUCAUCAUAUAUUUUAUUGAAAGUCAUAUAUCCAAAAUAUCAUUUCAAUGUGUAAACAAUAUAAAAAUUAUUAAUGACAUAGUUCACAUUUGUUUGUGUUAAGUCUUUGAAAUCUGGUGUGUAUUUCACAAUUCACACUAGCCACAUUUCAAGUGUUCAAUAGCCACAUGUAGCUGAUGGCUGCCAUAUUGGACAAUACUGUUUGGACCCUCCCACCAUAGAUGAUAAACCUUGCAUAUGUUAAAUGUUCAGCAAAACUUCAUUUUAGUUCUACUGAGUUAUUACAAUGAAAAUGAUAUGUGUGUGCUAUCUGUGUUUAUUUCAAAGUCCAUCUUAAACCAUAACUCUAGCAUAAGAAAGUUUGAAACACUGUUUCACUCUCCUCAUCAUCUUCUGCAUCCCUCCAUCUCACAUCCUCUCACUUCUGUCUUCAACCCAUUCAUGCAAACCCUUCGCACACAUUUCCAGAUCAAUUUGACAAAAUACUGCUUUAUGUUGCAUGAAACCUUGUGUAUAAUUUGUGGAGAUUGGAUCAAGAUGAUUUCUCUUUUUUUUUUAGAGUAGGCUCCAUGCCCAGUGUGGACCCCAACCUGGGGCUUGAACUCAAGACCCUAAGAUCAAGACCCUGAGCUGAGAGAUCAAGAGUCGGAUGCUUAACCAACUGAGCCACCCAGGCACCCCAUCACAAUGAUUUUUUCUGAUAACAAUCCAGGAAAAGAAAACAGCAAAAUUGCAGGAGAAACUUAUCAAACAACUAAUACAAGAAAAAUUUCCAGAACUAAAAUACGUGUAGCUCCAUAGUGAAAGAUCCCACCUGCAUUCAACACAAAGAAUAAAAAAAUGACCUACACCAGGGGAAAUCAUGGUGACAUUUCAGAAUAGCAGUGGUUAAUAAAAAGCAAUCUAAAUGUUUUGGGGUGCCUGGGUGGCUCAGUCAGUUAAGUGUUUGAUUCUUGAUUUCAGCUCACGUCAUGAUCUCACAGUUCCCACAUGAUCCCAUAGAGAAGGUUUGAGCCCCGUAUGGGGCUCCACACUGAGUGUCUAGAGCCUGCUUAGGAUUUUCUCUCUCCCUCUCUCUCUCUGCCCCUCCCUGACUCACAUGUGCUCUCUCUCUCUCAAAGUAAAUAUAAACUUAAAAAAAAAACUAUUUUAAAAGCAACCUAAAUGUUUUGAUAUACUGCAAUGAUGAGUAGGACUCAGAAUGGCAUCAAACUUUUUAGCAUUGACAUACAGCAGUGGACACAGAAAACCCAACAAGACUUGACAGUAAAAUAGUCUCAAAGGUUUUCCUUUUCAUAUACCACUUCUUAAGAAGUUAUUACAGAGUUUAGUCCCAGCAGAACAAUGGGGUGACCAAGAAAGAGGAAGACGAAGGGUAAGUAUAUAGAAGUGGCAAAACAAGAGAGUGUUAAGAUUUGUCCUAAGGUAUCAGCUGUGCAGUUGGCCUGGAGAGCAGUUGGUCCAGGUUGAAUUGAUAGAAGAAUCCAGAAAGAACAUCUCUGGGGGGAAAAAAAAAUUAGUCAAUAAGUUGACCUUAUUGAAAAUCCUAUUGAGAGAAUAUUGGAGGGAGUUGAGAGACUGGCCAAUAGGCACAGAAACAAAACAAAACAAAACAAAACAAAACAAAACA